ACGCCCGCUCAAGUAAACUAAAGGAAGUUGACGGGGAGCACUACGAACGGUGGAGCCUGCGGUUUAAUUGGAUUCAACGCCGAAAUCUCGACCGGGGCGACAGCAAUAUGAAGGUCAGGCUGAAGACCUUACCCGAUUAGCUGAGAGGUGGUGCAUGGCCGUCGUCAGUUCGUACUGUGAAGCAUCCUGUUAAGUCAGGCAACGAGCGAGACCCACGUCCACAGUUGCCAGCAUACCCUCCGGGGUGAUGGGUACACUGUGGAGACCGCCGCUGCUAAAGCGGAGGAAGGAGUGGGCAACGGUAGGUCAGUAUGCCCCGAAUCUCCCGGGCUACACGCGGGCUACAAUGGUUGGUACAAUGGGCAUCUACCCCGAAAGGGGAAGGAAAUCUCUUAAAGCCAAUCGUAGUUCGGAUUGAGGGCUGCAACUCGCCCUCAUGAAGCUGGAAUCCGUAGUAAUCGCGUUUCAACAGAACGCGGUGAAUACGUCCCUGCUCCUU
This 499-nucleotide ribosomal RNA is filed under the name uncultured Methanosaeta sp. RNAcentral describes it as "bacterial SSU rRNA". It matches the Rfam family "Archaeal small subunit ribosomal RNA", at positions 858 to 1338 of the family's 1478-position model. Lineage: Archaea; Methanobacteriati; Methanobacteriota; Methanomicrobia; Methanotrichales; Methanotrichaceae. The record is from RNAcentral.